This 1108-nucleotide long non-coding RNA is filed under the name Triticum aestivum (bread wheat). RNAcentral's name for it is "long non-coding RNA (TAES_LNC023176)". Lineage: Eukaryota; Viridiplantae; Streptophyta; Magnoliopsida; Poales; Poaceae. The record is from RNAcentral.
UUUAUAAACACUUAGGCAUUUUAUAAAAUUGUGAAUCUUACACCAUAAUUAUCUUUGUAAUAUUUGGCAACCACCGAACAUUUUUGUUUUAAUUUUUGAAAACUUUUAUUGUUUUCUUUUAUUUAAAUUUUGAACUUGUUUCGGUUCUGAACUAUCGAGAGUUUAUCACAGUAACCGUGGUGACGUGGCAUCAUUAGCGGGGAAUCACUGUAGCUUAAUUAUCCGGGCGUCACAAUUCUCCUCCACUACAAGAAAUCUCGUCCCGAGAUUUAGGAUCGGUUAUAAGGGGGAAGGGGUCUGGUUACGAAAUUCUAACGAUUCUUCUCGAUCAUAGUAGCUCUUCUCGAAGAGGUCGACCCAUUACAUUGAUGUCUUCAGUCCUCUCCUCCAGGUCAUCAUGAUGAAGUUUGUCGUCCUUUCUUCGGGGUUCCAUCGUACUUACGAAAGGAUAAAGGGUGGGUAUUCCGAGAGAAUGGACCUCUGCAGGUUUGACUAUCUGGUCGAUAACAUCGGGGAGGGUGGCGGAAGUAACUCUCGAAUUGAAACUUAAGAAAAUAUCAAGAGCAGAGUAAGGAGGUAUCCUGGGAAGUUUCGAGCGGGCAGGCAAUCGUUCGAUGUCUGAUAUGUGGCGUGAAAGGGGUUCGAAGCCACGAGAAUAAGUAUUUGUCUGAUACCAGAUUGAAGGUGGCUCAUGAAUUACAUACGAGGCCACGCGCGAGGAACAACCUUGGGUACAGGGGGGUACAGGAGAGUCAGGUUUCGAUCCUGUGGAACUGUGGGUUAUGGGCCCACCAUGUGGAUUAAAAGUAGGAAGGNNNNNNNNNNUGUUUUCUUUUUAUUUAUUUUCUUUUCUGUUUUUAUUUAUUUAUAAACACUUAGGCAUUUUAUAAAAUUGUGAACCUUACACCAUAAUUAUCUUUGUAAUAUUUGGCAACCACCGAACAUUUUUGUUUUAAUUUUUGAAAACUUUUAUUGUUUUCUUUUAUUUAAAUUUUGAAUUUGUUUCGGUUCUGAACUAUCGAGAGUUUAUCACAGUAACCGUGGUGACGUGGCAUCAUUAGCGGGGAAUCACUGUAGCUUAAUUAUCCGGGCGUCACAAUUCUCCUCC